This 343-nucleotide unclassified non-coding RNA is filed under the name soil metagenome. Its description in RNAcentral is "partial contains 5.8S ribosomal RNA, internal transcribed spacer 2, and large subunit ribosomal RNA". The stretch from base 1 to 119 matches the Rfam family "5.8S ribosomal RNA", at positions 35 to 154 of the family's 154-position model. The record is from RNAcentral.
GAUGAAGAACGUAGCGAAUGCGAUAAGUAAUGUGAAUUGCAGAAUUCAGUGAAUCAUCGAAUCUUUGAACGCACAUUGCGCCCGCCAGUAUUCUGGCGGGCAUGCCUGUUCGAGCGUCAUUUCAACCCUCAGGGCCCUUUUGGACCUGGCGUUGGGGCUCGGCCGCUACCCUGCGGCCGUCCCCGAAAGAUAGUGGCGGUCUCGCUGUAGCCUCCUCUGCGUAGUAGUUACAUCUCGCACUGGAACGCGGCGCGGCCUUGCCGUUAAACACCCCACUUCUCAAGGUUGACCUCGGAUCAGGUAGGAAUACCCGCUGAACUUAAGCAUAUCAAUAAGCGGAGGA